Molecule: long non-coding RNA, 764 nt
Filed under: Ananas comosus (pineapple)
Lineage: Eukaryota; Viridiplantae; Streptophyta; Magnoliopsida; Poales; Bromeliaceae
Description: long non-coding RNA (ACOM_LNC008165)
Source: RNAcentral
AGUUGAUUUAGAAUACUUUUAUAAGUAUCAUCCCCAUGUUGCUAUCACGUUUUUAGCCAUUGGAUCUACUUUUUGAAUACAAAUAGCCCUUGGAUCAAACACUAUUCCACCUACCACCACCUACGACCACCUACCACCAUCAUCUCAACCUCACAUCUCUCCAUCCAAGGGCUAAAAACACACAAGUAUCACCCAAAAGUAUUCUAGCCCUACUCAUAUAUAGAGCUAGGCUACUAUGCUUUCGAAAGUACGGUUGCCUCCGUGCUUGUAAGUUGUUUUCGAUGAUGGGACAUUCGAUUCGGUGAUUGGUUCCAAUAAACUUGAUCUAUGCUAUUGGAACUAUCUAGAAACCAAAUUUUAUAAUUUUUUGACUUCGUUUGUCUAGUGAACGAGUAGCCUCAAAAUGAACGGCUGAAAAUAAAAAUCUCAUAAAAAAUAGUGAUAAAUGACUUAAAUUUCAAAUCGGAAGUAUUGAUCUUGCUAUUAAUGUUAAGUAGAAUUUUCUAUUAAAUUUUUAUAUAAAUUGGAUACUUUUAUACCGUUGAACCUAAAAACAUGCCACAUCGACCGUUAAAAUAGUCAUUUUUGAGACUUUUUGAUCGGUUGGUAAAUGAUGUCAAAAAAUUAUAAAAUUUGGUUUCUAGAUAGUUUCUAUAGGGUAGAUUAUACUUAACGGAACCGAUCGUCGAAUCGAAUGUCUUAUCAUCGAAAACAACUUACAAAUAUGGAGGUCUCCGUACUUUCAAAAGUAUAGGAGACGUACU